GAUGAAGAACGCAGCGAAAUGCGAUAAGUAAUGUGAAUUGCAGAGUUCAGUGAAUCAUCGAAUCUUUGAACGCACAUUGCGCCCGUCAGUAUUCUGGCGGGCAUGCCUGUUCGAGCGUCAUUACGCCCCUCAAGUCCCCUGUGGACUUGGUGUUGGGGAUCGGCGAGGCUGGUUUUCCAGCACAGCCGUCCCUUAAAUUAAUUGGCGGUCUCGCCGUGGCCCUCCUCUGCGCAGUAGUAAAACACUCGCAACAGGAGCCCGGCGCGGUCCACUGCCGUAAAACCCCCCAACUUUUUAUAGUUGACCUCGAAUCAGGUAGGACUACCCGCUGAACUUAAGCAUAUCAAUAAGCGGAGGA
RNAcentral lists this unclassified non-coding RNA (358 nucleotides) under soil metagenome. RNAcentral describes it as "partial contains 5.8S ribosomal RNA, internal transcribed spacer 2, and large subunit ribosomal RNA". The stretch from base 1 to 120 matches the Rfam family "5.8S ribosomal RNA", at positions 35 to 154 of the family's 154-position model. The record is from RNAcentral.